RNAcentral lists this ribosomal RNA (253 nucleotides) under uncultured bacterium. RNAcentral describes it as "partial 16S ribosomal RNA". It matches the Rfam family "Bacterial small subunit ribosomal RNA", at positions 524 to 776 of the family's 1533-position model. The record is from RNAcentral.
GACAGAGGGUGCAAACGUUGUUCGGAAUUACUGGGCGUAAAGCGCGUGUAGGCGGCAGCGUGUGUCGGGCGUGAAAUCCCACGGCUCAACCGUGGAAGUGCACCCGAAACUGCGCAGCUAGAGUCCUGGAGAGGAAGGUGGAAUACUUGGUGUAGAGGUGAAAUUCGUAGAUAUCAAGUGGAACACCGGUGGCGAAGGCGGCCUUCUGGACGGUAACUGACGCUGAGACGCGAAAGCGUGGGGAGCAAACAGG